Long non-coding RNA from Mauremys mutica (yellowpond turtle), 2337 nucleotides. RefSeq lists it as uncharacterized. The record is from RefSeq and is a predicted model, not a curated record. The transcript is spliced from 3 exons. Lineage: Eukaryota; Metazoa; Chordata; Testudines; Geoemydidae.
ACCACUUUUUCAUUAACAUAAAAUUUAGCUCCUCAUUACAUAGAGUGGAGUAUCCUGAUCCCAUUGAAGUCACUGGCCAAACUCCCAUUACUUUCACUGAGAGCAGGAUCAAGCCAAGUAAUGUAUUGUUCUAAUUUCCUUUAGUGAAAAUCAGAAAUGAUUCAUGACAAGUUCAUUGAGUUUCUGAAGAUCACAUUAAAUAUGAUGUUAUAAACCAACCGCAAGAUCAGUUUUUAUGAAAGAAAUAGGAUGGGUGGGAAGCAGCAAAAUAACUCAACAUAAGAAAUUGCUUAUUCCUCACUUACACAUCGUAUAUGAUCACAGAUAAAUUUCUGAGCUGCUUCUUUCCCAGAAAAUUCAAACAGCUGGAGCUGUAAGUCAGGAACGUAAGAAAAAAAUAGAACAGAAGACAUUAAUUAUAUCCAAAAGUGGAAUUUUCAACCCACUGUUGUAUUUCUUUCAGACAAACAAAAGAAUAAUAUAGGAAUCUAAUCUGACUCUGCCUGAACUAAGGCAUUCAAUUAUAUACAGGAUAACUAAAUAAACAGUUAUAAAGUUAACUUGUUUGCCAUUUUAGGGGGGUGGGAGAAAUCAUAGUUGUUAAUCAAAAAGAAUUAAAGCCUCUGGAUUCAUAUAAAGCCUUUAUAAAGAGAUAGAAAUACCUUUCAGAGCUUCAACUGUGACAUGGAUCUUAAAGUGCUUAUAAUUUAUAAUGUAUCAUAAGGUAGGACAUGGGUUUAUGAGAUUUUAUAUUUGUUUUUAAAAAAACCCAAACCGCUUUUUUCUGCAAAUCUUGUUUAUAAAUUGUAUCUUCUUACUUACUCUUUCAGUCAAGUUAUCUACUUUGUAGUCUAUAUUGGGCGUAAAGUAAGUAUCACUGGUGACAAGACAUACAGUGGCUUUUCGACCUUCCCCUGCUGUCCACAGAAUAUCUCCCAGAGAUUCUGCAAGUGCGUUUUCUUGUUCUGUUUGGCUUAUUUCACAUAAACUGUAAUGCAGGACACAAAAGAAUAUGAAAGGCAUGAAACUGGCAGAUGAACCUACCACAGGAAAACUCUAGGGCAUUGUGUACGCUUGGAGAUAGCCCUGAUUCGGCACUCAGUGCUGGCAUCUAAACAUGGACAGGGCCAUACUGGGCUUUGCAUCAAAUGAGCUAAAGGACCAGCACAAGCGCAGCUACACCAGCUGCUGGCGAUUGCUGAAUCAGGGCAGUGCCUGAGUGUAGCCAAGGCUGUUACAAACAUUAUGAUGUUGACGGGGUUUCUUAUUAUAAACGAGUGCCCUGUGUCCUGACAUGAUUUGGUGUUUCCUGUGUUAGAACCAUUUUAUAAUCAUGCUACAGAAUUACGAUACAAUUCAGUGAAGGUUAAGGUUCUAAUCUGUGUUAUGGCAUGGUCAGGAUACUAUCAUGUAAUAACCUGAUCCCUGACACAAUAAAAUAUGUACUUAGAUUGGCCUUAAUUGACAACCAAAUUCUAUCCCCACAGUAAAAUCUGUGAGAGGAGGCCAGAGGACCUAAGAAACCUUGAAGUGUUUCUGGCAAAUGAUCCUCUAAUGGGGAUGAGCUUAGAGGGAUGGAGGAGGCCAAAGUAUGAAAGCGACAGCCCUGAGGUACCUGCUUCUCUGCAGCACUGCCUCUGCCUGUCCUUAGAAUCGUGCUUGCAUUGGCUGUCCAGGCCACACUAAGUCAGUGUUAUUAGCAGCUGCAUUAGCUCCUGCAUGGUUAUCUGUCGCCAUUAAAGGGGGAUGGGGAGCAUGGCUGGAAGAGGUUUCAGGAGUUCUGAGAGGGAGGACCAUGCCACACUGGCUCCCACCCCUUCGGCUGCGUUCCCACUCCACUUUACUGUAUCAGCUCCCCUCCACACCUCACUGAGAGGGGUUUAAAAGUCUCUGUUAGCUCUUUGCUCAUGUUUUUGUCUCUCUCUUUUGGUUUCUCUCAGGGUGCUAUUGGAGUCUGUCACUGCCAGAGAAAGAAAGAUCUGCCUUUAUAGCAGGUGCAGCUUUACAGAGCUAUCCUGGUUACCCUCUUUGCCCUAUCACCUGAACUGAGGACAUGAACAAUAAUGAAGAUAAUAAUUUCAGAGCUAUUUCUGCUUUAGAAUAAAUUUGUUCCAGGAAGCCAUUUAAGAACAGACUUCAAUAAAGAUUUGAAAUUUUGCUGGAUAUCCAUUUGUUGUAAGCUGUGUUCACCACUGGAUGCCUCCUUGUCCAUCUGUACUCUGCACAAGAGUAAGGGAUGCAAACAUUAAAAAUCAGGAUAUAAACUCCCUUGUAUCUAAAAGAGAAGUGACCCUCUUGGCACAUAUGCCUAUAUGAAGUGUCCUAGCUCAUACUAUC